AGUGAACGCUGGCGGUAGGCCUAACACAUGCAAGUCGAACGGCAGCACAGUAAGAGCUUGCUCUUACGGGUGGCGAGUGGCGGACGGGUGAGGAAUACAUCGGAAUCUACUUUUUCGUGGGGGAUAACGUAGGGAAACUUACGCUAAUACCGCAUACGACCUACGGGUGAAAGCAGGGGAUCUUCGGACCUUGCGCGAUUGAAUGAGCCGAUGUCGGAUUAGCUAGUUGGCGGGGUAAAGGCCCACCAAGGCGACGAUCCGUAGCUGGUCUGAGAGGAUGAUCAGCCACACUGGAACUGAGACACGGUCCAGACUCCUACGGGAGGCAGCAGUGGGGAAUAUUGGACAAUGGGCGCAAGCCUGAUCCAGCCAUACCGCGUGGGUGAAGAAGGCUUUCGGGUUGUAAAGCCCUUUUGUUGGGAAAGAAAAGCAGCAGGUUAAUACCCCGCUGUUCUGGCGGUACCCAAAGAAUAAGCACCGGCUAACUUCGUG
RNAcentral lists this ribosomal RNA (492 nucleotides) under uncultured bacterium. RNAcentral describes it as "partial 16S ribosomal RNA". It matches the Rfam family "Bacterial small subunit ribosomal RNA", at positions 29 to 507 of the family's 1533-position model. The record is from RNAcentral.